This 95-nucleotide ribosomal RNA is filed under the name Corethrogyne filaginifolia var. linifolia. RNAcentral's name for it is "partial 5.8S ribosomal RNA". It matches the Rfam family "5.8S ribosomal RNA", at positions 65 to 154 of the family's 154-position model. Rfam says of the family: 5.8S ribosomal RNA (5.8S rRNA) is a component of the large subunit of the eukaryotic ribosome. It is transcribed by RNA polymerase I as part of the 45S precursor that also contains 18S and 28S rRNA. The record is from RNAcentral. Lineage: Eukaryota; Viridiplantae; Streptophyta; Magnoliopsida; Asterales; Asteraceae. RNAcentral also lists the same sequence under 1 other name.
GUGUGAAUUGCAGAAUCCCGUGAACCAUCGAGUUUUUGAACGCAAGUUGCGCCCGAAGCCAUUCGGCUGAGGGCACGUCUGCCUGGGCGUCACGC